GACCUGCCCAAUGGAGUAGUCUAAAUGGCCGCGGUAUUAUGACCGUGCGAAGGUAGCAUAAUCAUUAGUCUUUUAAUUGUAGACUGGAAUGAACGGUUGGACGUAAUAAUGUNUUUUUUAUUCUUACAUAUUGAAUUUUACUUUUUAGUGAAGAGGGUAAAAUGAGGCCNAAAGACGAGAAGACCCUAUCAAGUUUUAUUACCGAGUACUGGAAAAUAGAGGUGAAUUAAUAAGGUAUAAGGUUAAUUUUACUGGGGCGGUAGGUGAAAACUAAUUAGGAUCCAAAAUUUUUGAUUAUUUGUUUAAAUUACUGUAGGGAUAACAGCGUAAUCUUAUUUGAGAGUUCAUAUCGACGAUAAGGGUUGCGACCUCGAUGUUGGAUUAGAAUUCCUUCUUGGAGCAGAAUCUAAGAAGGGGGGUCGGUUCGACCAUUAAAAUUCUACA
Molecule: ribosomal RNA, 444 nt
Filed under: Parascutigera guttata
Lineage: Eukaryota; Metazoa; Arthropoda; Chilopoda; Scutigeromorpha; Scutigeridae
Description: partial 16S ribosomal RNA
Rfam family: Bacterial large subunit ribosomal RNA
Source: RNAcentral